RNAcentral lists this ribosomal RNA (253 nucleotides) under uncultured bacterium. RNAcentral's name for it is "partial 16S ribosomal RNA". It matches the Rfam family "Bacterial small subunit ribosomal RNA", at positions 524 to 776 of the family's 1533-position model. The record is from RNAcentral.
UACGUAGGGCGCAAGCGUUGUCCGGAAUUAUUGGGCGUAAAGAGCUCGUAGGCGGCCUGUUGCGUCCGCUGUGAAAUCCCGGGGCUCAACUCCGGGCCUGCAGUGGAUACGGGCUGGCUAGAGGCAGGCAGGGGAGAACGGAAUUCCUGGUGUAGCGGUGAAAUGCGCAGAUAUCAGGAGGAACACCGAUGGCGAAGGCAGGUCACUGGGCCGCAACUGACGCUGAGGAGCGAAAGCAUGGGGAGCGAACAGG